GAUGAACGCUAGCUACAGGCUUAACACAUGCAAGUCGAGGGGAAACGACAUCGAAAGCUUGCUUUUGAUGGGCGUCGACCGGCGCACGGGUGAGUAACGCGUAUCCAACCUGCCCACCACUUGGGGAUAACCUUGCGAAAGUAAGACUAAUACCCAAUGAUAUCUCUAGAAGACAUCUGAAAGAGAUUAAAGAUUUAUCGGUGAUGGAUGUGGAUGCGUCUGAUUAGCUUGUUGGCGGGGUAACGGCCCACCAAGGCAACGAUCAGUAGGGGUUCUGAGAGGAAGGUCCCCCACAUUGGAACUGAGACACGGUCCAAACUCCUACGGGAGGCAGCAGUGAGGAAUAUUGAUCAAUGGACGAGAGUCUGAACCAGCCAAGUAGCGUGCAGGAAGACGGCCCUAUGGGUUGUAAACUGCUUUUAUAAGGGAAUAAAGUGAGUCUCGUGAGACUUUUUGCAUGUACCUUAUGAAUAAGGACCGGCUAAUUCCGUG
RNAcentral lists this ribosomal RNA (492 nucleotides) under uncultured bacterium. RNAcentral's name for it is "partial 16S ribosomal RNA". It matches the Rfam family "Bacterial small subunit ribosomal RNA", at positions 28 to 507 of the family's 1533-position model. The record is from RNAcentral.